RNAcentral lists this ribosomal RNA (813 nucleotides) under Arthrobacter sp. ANT 16. Its description in RNAcentral is "bacterial SSU rRNA". It matches the Rfam family "Bacterial small subunit ribosomal RNA", at positions 456 to 1266 of the family's 1533-position model. Lineage: Bacteria; Bacillati; Actinomycetota; Actinomycetes; Micrococcales; Micrococcaceae. The record is from RNAcentral.
GGCCUUUUGGGUUGGUGACGGUACCUGCAGAAGAAGCGCCGGCUAACUACGUGCCAGCAGCCGCGGUAAUACGUAGGGCGCAAGCGUUAUCCGGAAUUAUUGGGCGUAAAGAGCUCGUAGGCGGUUUGUCGCGUCUGCCGUGAAAGUCCGGGGCUUAACUCCGGAUCUGCGGUGGGUACGGGCAGACUAGAGUGCAGUAGGGGAGACUGGAAUUCCUGGUGUAGCGGUGAAAUGCGCAGAUAUCAGGAGGAACACCGAUGGCGAAGGCAGGUCUCUGGGCUGUAACUGACGCUGAGGAGCGAAAGCAUGGGGAGCGAACAGGAUUAGAUACCCUGGUAGUCCAUGCCGUAAACGUUGGGCACUAGGUGUGGGGGACAUUCCACGUUUUCCGCGCCGUAGCUAACGCAUUAAGUGCCCCGCCUGGGGAGUACGGCCGCAAGGCUAAAACUCAAAGGAAUUGACGGGGGCCCGCACAAGCGGCGGAGCAUGCGGAUUAAUUCGAUGCAACGCGAAGAACCUUACCAAGGCUUGACAUGAACCGGAAUGAUGCAGAGAUGUGUCAGCCACUUGUGGCCGGUUUACAGGUGGUGCAUGGUUGUCGUCAGCUCGUGUCGUGAGAUGUUGGGUUAAGUCCCGCAACGAGCGCAACCCUCGUUCCAUGUUGCCAGCGGGUUAUGCCGGGGACUCAUGGGAGACUGCCGGGGUCAACUCGGAGGAAGGUGGGGACGACGUCAAAUCAUCAUGCCCCUUAUGUCUUGGGCUUCACGCAUGCUACAAUGGCCGGUACAAAGGGUUGCGAUACUGUGAGGUGGA